CGGGUGAGUAAUACAUCGGAACGUGCCCUGUAGUGGGGGAUAACUAGUCGAAAGAUUAGCUAAUACCGCAUACGACCUGAGGGUGAAAGUGGGGGACCGCAAGGCCUCAUGCUAUAGGAGCGGCCGAUGUCUGAUUAGCUAGUUGGUGGGGUAAAGGCCUACCAAGGCGACGAUCAGUAGCUGGUCUGAGAGGACGAUCAGCCACACUGGGACUGAGACACGGCCCAGACUCCUACGGGAGGCAGCAGCU
Molecule: ribosomal RNA, 250 nt
Filed under: uncultured Ralstonia sp.
Lineage: Bacteria; Pseudomonadati; Pseudomonadota; Betaproteobacteria; Burkholderiales; Burkholderiaceae
Description: partial 16S ribosomal RNA
Rfam family: Bacterial small subunit ribosomal RNA
Source: RNAcentral